AUAAAAUUCACACAUAAUCUUGCAACUAGGAGAUAAUUACUUUUGGGGGUAUAUCCUUGUAGUCAUUUUAUGUGCAAAUUUGGAAUUGCACUGGAAAUAUUGUUUUCACUCAAAAUAUUUAAUACGCAUAUUUCUGCAUCAUUAAAUGCACUUUUAAACCUGACUUUUAAUGACUACCUGGGAUUAAACACCUAUUCUAAAACCUGUUUAAUUGUCAUAUGGUAUGAAAUUCACACUGUUUGGUGGCUUAAAGACUGAGUUUGCUGGUCAAAUAAGGGACAAGGCAGGGAAGAAAUCUUAAACCAGUUACCUCUUUGUCUGUCUCCAGGGUGGGCAGGAGCUGAGAGCCGAUUGUUAAGUUUUCAGGAAUUUUGUGAGCUGGUUGUUAAGCCAUUGGUAGCUUCACAUUGGCCAUGGUCAGGAGUAUUUACGCCAGAGCAAUCAGCAAGUGCUGAAAAAUUAGGACGGUUCCCCCCAGAGAGCUGGUUUCCCAGCACAUUACUGUAGACUCUGAAUCUCCCUCCAUAGUGUUUGACUUAAAGGUUAAAAGAGAGAAAAUUCUUUCUCUUUUCAACACCCAAAAGACCAAGUCCUAGCAUCUUUUCGUUUAAUCUAAAAUUAAAUGCCGUAUCUUAAGACGAGCAAUUAAAGCCACAUUCUAAGGCCGCAUUCAUCUCUCCUGGAGAAAAAGCAAAAUAUCUGCAAGCAAAUGACUUAAGAUUUAAAAAAGGAAUCAAUGUUGGAUACAACUUUUUUGUUCUUCCUGAAUAAGAUAAAUAACUGGCAGUUGUGUGCCUGUGAACGAGCAGAGAAAGUUCAUUCGCGAUCACUUUUGAACUGAGGAAAGGUAAUGUAUUCUUUGAUCUAACAGACGUGUUCUGGGUACUGAUCGUUAAUCUUGUUUAAUGAGGGCUGAGUCCUGUUCGUAGAGUUCUGUGAUCUAGGCAGCUGAUCACGAUGGUGCCAGCGCAGUCAAGGCCAAGCUCUCUCAUCGUAGUCUCCGAGUGUUUACGCUUGUCUAGUUGUGACAGUAAACUAGAAGGCAGAGAGCGCGGAGGGAGGGGCUCUGAGGAAGGGAGGUGCUGCGGUCGGUUUUCUUGGCCCCAGUGUGAUUUCAAAUAGAACUGGCCUCAUUUCAUUCAUCAGCCCCUGUUGACCUCUGCUAGCUUGACCAAUUAUCUCUGUAACUUUUUUCUCCUCACCAAUUGGCACCGUGGUUUCUAGAUAUCCUCUGUCUACCUCUGAGGCAGGGAGAUGGCCACCGUACCCCUCAAGGGCACGUUCAACCUCAUAGCUCUCGGCAGUGAAAGGAAGCGAGAAAUGAUUCGAAGGAGGGAAAUGAGAAUCCACGAGCCGACUCUGCAGACUUGAGGCAAUGGACUAAUUUGGUCCUUUUCGUGACGUGACAGCCUUCACAUCCCUCUCCAUUAACCACCGUCUGCUGUUAGCAGGAGCUGCGGGCUGGUGAUUUUGGAGGCUUCCUGAGAAUCACAGAAAUUUUGAAAAUAUUGGAUGUGUGUUUGAUAACAUUUUCCAAACCAAAUAUAAGAGCGUAUAACCAUUUUGAAGAGAAAUGUGAAGUUUUCAAAAAGUUUUCCUUGAGGGGGACAGAGAGCUGUUUUGACUGUUGUGGCUGCUACCCCAGGGACGACUUUUCUGUUCUCAGAUGGCGUUUAACCAUCAUUUACUAUGUGCCGAGCACCAUGCUUGGAGCUCCACAUACGUCAUCUCACCCCAUGCUCACGGAAGCCUCUGACACAGGGCUCAUGACUCCCGUUUUGUAGGUGCAGACACUGAGACUCAGAGAAGGUAAACGGUCUGAAGUCCACCUCGGCGCAUGAACUCACCCAGUGCUUUCCUCCGCGUUGCUGCCUUGUCGCUCUGCUCGGAGCUGGGGUUGUGUUGUCUCUUGUUCUUAGCAGUAAAAUAUGCAAAGGGAAAUCGGAUCAGUCAUUAUAAUCUUAGCACUCUUAGUAUCUAGAAGGGGUUAGAGAUCAUGACCUUCCCCUUUUCUUUCUGUACGAUGAAGCUGAUGGAGCCUAUUGGGUGUGAGUUCUCUCCACUCCCCUUCUCCCAACCUUGAGAUUCUCUGCUGCCUCAUCUCCCAGCCUUUCCCCUCUGCCCAGAGGCGCUGGCUGGCCUCUGUUUCAAGCUCUCACCUCUGCUGCAUCUUGGAUCUCCCCUCCACUACCUCCUUUGCGACAUUUAUCUUACUUUCUUGUGCUUAUCACAUGGGACGUUAUACUUGACAUUUGUUUGUUAGUUUAUUGUCUGUCUCCACUGGAUUAUCGUCUCUGUGCAGUUGGGAGAUUUUAUCCUUCUUAUGGCCUGUGCUAAAGGGAGUGCAGCCGCAUAGGAUGUGCUCAUUUAAUAUUCAAUGGACUGAAUGAAUACUGCCGCCUCACAUGUCUAUUUUCUCACCUCUCCAGCCAUUGUCCGCUUUAUGGAUUCUUUUUCUUUUUUUUGCUGAGGAAGAUUUGCCCUGAGCUAACAUCUGUUGCCAAUCUUCCUCUUUUUGUAUGUGAGCCACCGUCACAGCAUGGCCACUGAGAGACAAGUGGUGUAGGUCUGCGCCUGGGAACUGAACCCAGGCUGCUGAAGUGGAGUGUGCUGAACUUAACCAGUAGGCCACUGGGGCCAGCCCCACCCAAUGGAUUCUUUAAUCUCACCCUACAAGCAAGCUCAGGUCUCUUCUUGGUGACACAUCCUUUCCUGGCCCAGCUACCUUGCUAAACUGCCAUCCCACUUAGAACCAACUCGUGCCUACCCACUCAUGACUUCAGAUCUCUCCUUUUCGUUGUCCACUCUGGGCAUUUUACUGAAACUGCUCCUUGCAGGCCACCGAUGAGCUCCUACCAAGUGUUACCAUCUGUCUGAAAUCCCUGACACUUCCAACGAUUUAAAAUCAUCCUCCUUUUUAAAAUUCUCUUCUCAGUUGUCCAUGUUUCUCAGUGAUGCAUGAUGAAAUACACAGCGGCAAAAUACCAUGAGGCUUGGGAUUUGCUGUGAAAUAUUUCAGGGAAGUAACCACAUGGCAAGAAGGAUUGCAUGGCCAGCAUCCUUGAUCAUUGCUGAUCCUCAUUGAAUGGGCACAGGUCUUCAUUAUGUAUAUCUCUACUUUUGUGUACAUUUGGAAAUUUUUAUCAAACCAAAAACAAAUGCCCCCUCAUGCUCUGUCUUCAGUGGCAUCUGACCCACCCUCUUGCCCAACACCUCCCUUGCUGCCCUUUCUGGUCGCGCUCCUUUCUCCUGCAUCCCUUGGUUCUGCCCUGGCCGUUGUCUCCCUCCAUAGUCUCUCUUGGAUACCCCCACCUGCCAUGGCAUUGAUGACCAUCCCUGAGUCUCUAAUUCCCACAGACCUGAACUGCUUCCCCCGGGCCCAGCUGCUGAAUCCCCAUGACCUGCAGAGACCACCCCAAUGCCCUCCAAGUGCAUGGAGCACAUGUGCUCCAACCAGAGCUCUUGUUUGCCCUCAAGGCCCUGCAUAGCCCUGCCCACUUCCUGUGCUUCCUGAGUUCUCAGUGACCUUGUCUUCCUUCUGGUGCCCUGGGUCCGAUACCCUAGAGUCACCAUGCCUGCCCCGCCUCCAAUGGAUGGCCAGUUCCCCUCUUCUUUCCCAAAGCCGCUUACUCCCCUCCCGCCCAUUUCUCCCAUUGGCUUCAUUAUCUCUUGCCUGAAUUGUUGUUUAGUUUGUCUUCAUGCUUUAAUUCCCUACCCCUGAUCCCAGGAACGCACCACUGUCAAAUGAAUCUUCCCACGUUCAGCCUCACCCCAAGCAUGCAGAAUGCACUUCUCUUAAUUCCAGACUCCAGGCUCUCAAUCUGGCCCCAUGUGGCCUCCCAACGCCAUCUCUCACUUUUCCUGUCUGGCACUCAGAGCUUUUACCAACGAGAACGCUCUCUGUGUCUCACACCUGCCCUUUUUCUAUGGAUACAGUUCUUACUUGUCCUUCAAGCUCCUGCCGGAAGGCCGCUUCCUCUGGGAAGCCCUUGCUGAUUUCUCAGUCAGCAGUAAUUCAUCCCACUUCGUCGUUCCUAAAUCAUUUCGGGAUGUUCUUGCCUCAUUUGGUUUUGUAAUGGAGUUUUGUGGGAACUUUUCCUGCAAGACUAGGAUGUUUUUUUCCCAGAGGCCCAACAUGUUGUGGAACCUUGUGUGUUGGAAGCAAUUAACACUCGUUAAAUGAGACAAUUUCCCCCCCCUCCCCCGUCUGCUUUGUGCAGUUACGAUGGUAAAUGGAAAAAUCUGAAAAUAAUCUCAGCUGAGAAACACUUUUAUGCUGAGAAUUGCUUUUAAUAUUUCAGAAUUGGCAUAUAAGACUAAAAAGAACCUACUCCAAAAUGUAGUGUUGGUGUGGGUUUAGAAUUCAGUGUUAACCAUGUAAAUAGGAAUUCAAGGGGAAUUUACCAAAUUGACCUCAUUUACAUGUGUAAUUAUCCACCUGUGAUCAUUCUACUGUCUUAUCUAUUCCGUCUUUCUCCUCCCACAUCAAGUUAAAAAUACUUUGUAUCAAGCAUUUUUUUCCUAACCAAAUACAAUGAAUUCUUGGAAUUGGGGUGUGCAUUUGUGUGUGUGUGUGUGUGUGUGUGUGUGUGUGUGUAAAUGCAGCUCUGCCACUUGAAACAAGAUGUGGAAGUACAAUGAAAUUACAACGUACUGUUGGUGUGGGUGAGAGGCUUAGAAGAUAGACAUCGUGAGUCAUGUUCAAGUGUGCACUUCACUAGGGGAGAUUUGGAGGUAAACGGCUUGGGGACAUCCCGCUGCUUUCAGUGAUCAGCAAAGCCAGGAAAGAAAACCAUGAGUUCUGCUCACCUGGAACUCCACAGGGCACAGUCCAUGGCAACUGGGAAUAGCUGCUUCCUCUGCUCAGAAGAUCUCUGAUAGGACAGGAAGGUGUCAGGGAGCUGGGCGCUGCCUUCUCAGGACACCCUCCUGGUGGGAAAAGGAUAAGCUCAGAGCUGGGGUAGAGGCCCUCGAGCUCGAAGCAAAAGAAAAGUGGUUACCCAGGUCCCUCAGUGUUUGGGUGUGCGAAGGAAUUGUGAGCCCUGGGGAUGCUUCCAGGGGCCUGUGGUCCCUGGAGCGAAGGGAUCUGAUGCAGCAGCCCUGGCCCCUCCAAGGGCAGGGGCCUCCCCUUGAGCCCCUGGCGACUCACAGGGUGGGCAUCGCCGCCGGGGAGCUCCUUAGAAAUGCAGACAGUCAGGCCACGCCCCCGCCUGCUGUGAAGCAGAACCCAAGUUCAGCAGGACCCCUGGUGGUCCCCAUGCACGUUCAAAUCUGAGAGGCACUGGUUUAGAAGACUGUGAAUAAAACACCCCUUUCGUGUGCUCAUUUGUUUUGUCACGAUUGUUCAUUUCUCUGAAUGCCGUAGUAGUUCUUUACGGUGCCUCCUUUUGACACCUGUAAAGUAGGUUAGUUUUACUCUCCAGCUUUGAGUUGGAUUUUUUUCUUAACCAGACCACAAGGGGCCGCAUCUCACCACAUAAACAUUCAUCACAUCCAGCCUGUUCCCAGCCACAGAGGCCGACUGAGGAGCUACAGGAGCCCCCUUCUCACAGGUACGUGGCUCCCGCUCUUGCAACCAAGCUCCUUAAUUGAAAUAAUGGUCAAGGCCUCUCCCCACUGGCUCCCCACCAGAUCACCAACAGCUUAGGUCACUCAGUAUUCAAUCCUGGAACUGUCCACACCUACACUCCCACGGAGCAUUUUCCGCAAGAGAUUUACAUUUCACACUGGGAAGGUAAUUAUGUUUUCUCUUUCAGUCAUUUUCUUAUGUUUCCGUGACUCAGGCUCAUUACUAAGUCCCCUCCCGCAAUCCUUUCUGAGUCCUUGAUGCUGUUUGCCAGCUUUGUGGGAAAUUGCCGGGUGAGACGCGUCAGCCUUCCUGAAUAAGCGCAUUUCUGACCCCCUUGCUAAUCUGUCUGACAAGUUUCCCCAGGAAUCGUGGCCUGUAUUAACGCUAUUUAUUCCUUUGGAGAGAUUAAGGAGCACUAUUAUCUCUUAAUGGGAGGAGGCAUCAAAAGCAUUUUAUUCAGAUUGAAACACUUCCCAAAACCUUCAGAAUGUAGUCGAGGCGAAGAGGUGGUGCUGGGAGGUCAGACCAGACUGGGAAGCCCGGAGCCCGAGGUCUGGGUCCUGCUGUGUUUCUAACUAGCCGAGCAAUUCACGUCCUUUGCUUCCCAUCUCCCAGCCUCAGUUUCUCAUCUAUAUGGUGAGGAGGUUAGACUAGAAUGAUCUGUGAGUUUCCUCACUUAAUUGAUCUCGCAAAAGCAGUGUUUUAAUUAAGCAUUGAUUUGACAUGGAAAACUUGCUCGGUAGCUGACAGAGGGACGACACAGAGCAUCUGCCAUCUGAUGGACGUUGACAGCAGCGUUCUGCCUUUGGAGAACCAGGACCACAAAAGAGGCUUCGAAUGGAAAGCACCACCCACCUUUGCGGCUGCUGCCUAGUUAACAGUUGUAGGUGGCUGGCAGGUGGCACGUCUUGAAGGAAAACUGAUUUUUAGGAACCAGCAGACAAGCGUCAGGCAAUUUGGAAGUUGUGGUUCCUGAAUGGGUUCUUCCAGAGAGAAGCUACUAGAAGUGUUCCAGGUGAAUCAGACAAGCCUGCCUGCCUGCCUUCUGGAUUUUCACAAACUAAAGGCAGAGGGAGCACAGAACUUGCAGGAGGGCCUAGUGGGAGCAGAUACGAGCAUAUAGUAGAUGCUCCAUGGAUGAGCCAACAGCGUAGGAACAGAGAGGGGAGACUGCAGGUCUCCCGCCCACCCAUGGGAGAUCUUGGCACCGCCAGCCUGCCAGCAAUGCAGCUUGCAAGAAUUUCACGGGCACACAUAGGAUUUUUUUUUUACACAACUGAACUUUGAAGUCAACAUUCCACCAACAGGAGGAAACUGCCUCUCUUAUGCGGAGCUAAGAGAGAUCUUUUUCAGGAAACUAAUCCUCACAGUGUGAGGUUGGAAUGAUUAUUUAGACAUUUUGGGAAGAAGCAAACUGUGGCUUGAAGUGGGAAUCUCCUGGGGUCCUUAUUCCUCUACCCACAGCCCCUGAGACUCACCCCUCCUCCUCCACAGCAACAACCGGCAGAGAAAAGAAUACGUCUGACUUAAGAGGAGUCACUGGACAUGGUGCAUUCAUUAAGAUGCGGGAAGGACUUGGGACGCACUCACAGCUGAGGAAGGGAGCGGCAACAUGGGCCGAAAGAACAAGGCUGUCGUGGGGGCCAUAUUGGGGUUGACUGGGGAAAGGGUAAGGAGUAACGGAGGGAGUGGUGAUUAGGGGAAAAGCCAGUACUGCAGAGAUGGGAUUCUCUGGUCCUGCACCCUUUCCAGCUCGCUGGCAGCAAGGCAGGCUCGUGGGACAAGGUGUGAAUAAAGUAGUUGGAAGUAACAUAAAUUACUUCCAGGUUGAAGUAGAGAAGAGCCGGCGUCUUCCCCCACUGCCUCUUCCCCUGCUGCAGGGACAAGGAGGCCUCCCAUUACAGGCGGUGCCCUUGCAUCCCUGAGAGACUUCAUGGACGUUGGGAUGAGGGUGUGAAACAUAUGUGAGUUGUAUUAAGCCAUUGAGACCCGGGCGUGGUUGUUACUGCAGCAUAACCUAUCCUCUGCUGACUAAUCUAGCCAUGCAGAUUCCCACAACGGGGGUUGAAAGUCCCAGAACCUUGUGCUGUCUCUUACCUGUGGCUAGGCAUGGGCAAAGUGCCCGUGUGGCACAGGUGGGGAUCUACUCUGUCACAUCGGGAAAUGGCUUUCCUGCCUCAGGAAAAAGAGAGGAGUGAGAAGACACUGUCUUUUUCCCUUCUUCUUUUAAAAAAUUUUUUAAUUGAG
Molecule: long non-coding RNA, 7816 nt
Organism: Equus caballus (horse)
Lineage: Eukaryota; Metazoa; Chordata; Mammalia; Perissodactyla; Equidae
Source: Ensembl